RNAcentral lists this ribosomal RNA (434 nucleotides) under uncultured Ruminococcus sp. RNAcentral describes it as "partial 16S ribosomal RNA". It matches the Rfam family "Bacterial small subunit ribosomal RNA", at positions 341 to 792 of the family's 1533-position model. The record is from RNAcentral. Lineage: Bacteria; Bacillati; Bacillota; Clostridia; Eubacteriales; Oscillospiraceae.
ACGGGAGGCAGCAGUGGGGAAUAUUGCACAAUGGGGGGAACCCUGAUGCAGCGAUGCCGCGUGGAGGAAGAAGGUUUUCGGAUUGUAAACUCCUGUCUUAAGGGACGAUAAUGACGGUACCUUAGGAGGAAGCUCCGGCUAACUACGUGCCAGCAGCCGCGGUAAUACGUAGGGAGCGAGCGUUGUCCGGAAUUACUGGGUGUAAAGGGGGCGUAGGCGGGAUGGCAAGUCAGAUGUGAAAACUAUGGGCUUAACCCAUAGACUGCAUUUGAAACUGUCGUUCUUGAGUGAAGUAGAGGUAAGCGGAAUUCCUGGUGUAGCGGUGAAAUGCGUAGAUAUCAGGAGGAACAUCGGUGGCGAAGGCGGCUUACUGGGCUUUUACUGACGCUGAGGCUCGAAAGCGUGGGGAGCGAACAGGAUUAGAUACCCUGGUA